CCAGUUCCCACUGAAUGGUUUAUAACCUGUAUUGCAUGAGUAGUAGAUUUUUCCCUCAUUUAUGGAGGCUCUGUAUAUGAACCUGUUUUUCAAGGAUGGAAUAAUGCAAAAUACUUCCUUUGCUGUGGGGAAAUAACAAACUGUAUUAACACAAAGUCAUUUCAUUUAAUUGGUUUCUGAGUUAUCAAAGGGAAGAUUAUAAUUAUUUGAUUGGAUAAUGACAUUAAAUGUAAUUUAAGGCUCUCGCAUUGUCAACAAACUGUAACUUGCCGGGUGCAGUGCUGUAUGCCUGUCCAUUGGCCCUGGGAAUUACAGGUGAUUUGUACACGCUGCUCUGGUUCAAAUCCAGAGUGACAUUUAUAUACUAUUCUGUAACAGACUUCAUAGUUUUGUCUCCGAUCUCCCUCAAUCUCUGAAUUUGGGAUUUUUGGUGCUUCACACGUAAUUUCUGUAAAACUUUCGACCAUUGUGCAUUUUAAGUCUAGGCCUUCAGUGCGAUUCAUGCUAUUAAGAAAACACAGUUUCACAAUAAAUAAGAUGCUAUGCCUAUUAUACAUUACAGGGCAGUCUACUAAUAAUACCAACUGACAUUUUAAAAACACUGGAGUUUGGUUUUGGUUAACUGCCAUUUGAUGUAAAUGUGGUCCUCCUAAUGUAAAUAAAAUUUCAUGGCGAUCAAGUGUGUAAGAGUUCGCACUGGACCACUCCCACAAACUAUAUUACAAUUUAUGGCCAUUAUUAAAUAACAAAAAAAUAAAAAAAACCUCAAUAUGGUAACUAUUACUGUAUUUUUUCUACAGACAGCUUUGCAGCAAAAACAGCCAGGUCUCAUGAACAUUACAUGACGACGUGGCAACAUUUUUGCAAAACGAAUUUGUGCUUCAUUAUACGUUUCACUGCCGCUCCGGACUCCCCACAACAGCUCGUCUAGCCCGGGAUCAUCUCUCCUUCUCCCAACGCUGUUCCUCAACCACCAGCGGUGAAUUGGGGUCGCCAAGUUCUACACUUGGAAACUUCUUCACCCAGGCGCUGCUGCCAGAUUAUUUCUUCUCCCCCUCCCUCAAGAUCCUCUCAUACCUCCUCAUCCAUAGCCUCUUUCAUAUCUGAUCGCCAAGCCAUACCCUGCAUUGCCAAGUGAACGAUAAUAGCUUAAGAUACACAUUCUCGCAGUCACAGAUAUUCAGUUUCCUUGGCAUUCAAACAAUGCCCAGCUCUACGACCUACUCGUUGCUUCUAAAUGCGGUGAUUCACCCACCCCACCAACAACGGCUCAACCCACUAAACACUCUAAAUCAGCAGCUCUCAACCCAAAAACUUCAGAAAUACCUGGAAUUCUGUCUCAGCCACCCAGCACCAGCGGAAACAUUCACACCGUGGUUACUAUGGAAGUAUGGUGCCUGCGAAGAACCGCCAGUUGUGAAGCAUGCAUCAUUAUCACCUCCCCCGCUGAGCUCCCUCCUCCUUCUCUCUCUCUCCAAUCUACAAUGGCAAAUCUUCACUCAAAAGAACUCUCAUUCGGGGGGGGCCUGGGUAGCUCAGUGAGCAAAGACACUGACUACCACCCCUGGAGUCGCAAGUUCGAAUCCAGGGUGUGCUGAGUGUCUCCAGCCAGGUCUCCUAAGCAACCAAAUUGGCCCGGUUGCUAGGGAGGGUAGAGUCACAUGGGGUAACCUCCUCGUGGUCACUAGUGGUUCCUGCUCUCAGUGGGGCACGUGGCAAGUUGUGCGUGGAUCGCGGAGGGUAGCAUGAGCCUUCACAUGCGGAGUCUCCGCGGUGUCACACACAACGAGCCACAUGAUAAGAUGUGUGGAUUGACUGUUUCAGAAGUGGAGGCAACUGAGACUUGUCCUCUGCCACCCUGAUUGGUGUGAGUAACCGCGCCACCAUGAGGGCCUACUAAGUAGUGGAAAUUGGGAGAAAAGGGGAUAAAUAAAGAAAAAGAAAAAGAACUCUCAGCUAACCCAUCUCCCAACAUGCAGUCAGUUCACCACCUGGCCAUCCUCCCCAUUCUUCAAUGACAGCCCUUUCAAAUGCCUCCACUUUUUCCACACAACCUACUCUUUCUGCCAACUUCCAUCCCUCUAUCCCUUCCUAUCAAUGGGCCACUGGAAUGGAUUCCCAAGUGAGGCUGCCUCCGCUGGAUAACUCCGCUCCAGACCCAUUCCCCUCUUCACUUUAUCCCCCUCCUUUCUACCAUUCUGACCUUCCCUACUCCAGAAUUGUUCCCUGCAUGAGGUCUAACUCAAACCUUCCAGCUCACCAUCCCAAAUUUACACUUCAAACAGCCAUACCUCUUGCCAUUUUCCCAAAUGCUGGCAUCGCAGAACCUCCACCAGUCUCCAACCACCUUCCUAGCAGGUGCAGACAUAGACCUCUCUUCUUUACUUUAAGCAAUCCCUCACAACAACAUGGUUAGAACCUCAAAGACCCCUCUCCCAGCUCUUCUCACACGCUCACUUUCGCCGAAUUUUGCAUCACCUUCGGAUGGUAUACUGAAGAUAUAUGCUCCAUGUUUCCACACAGACGGCGUGAGCUUAACGACUACCAAUUUAUCAUCGCCAAACUAUCACUCUCUUAUGGCGGCAGUCAUUUUUUAAUUUAUCACAAGCUUUUUCAGCAAAAUGUGCAGCAAGAGAAGCACAGUGGAACCAAUGCCAGUACUGGUGUGUGCUAGAUUUAGAUCUUCAUAAUAGUGUUCCUGGGAUGCAAGAGCAUUUCAUGUGCCGUCUGCAGGUCGACCAAGCACAAUCACACCUCCCAACCUGUCGAUUCCACAAACAAACCAACUAACUAUGUAUCUCAACCCAGUAGCAGCCUGUCAGAAUCUUCUAUCAAAGAUAACAAAGGCAGAUCAGUGAACUUUUCAGCAGGCAAACAAAUCUGUAAUAACUUCAAUGAAUUUGGAUGCUACAAAUCACAGUGCCGUUUACAGCACAUCUGCAACUUCUGCGGAAGAGCUCACGCUUUCUCCGUAUGCCCUGUUAAAUAAUCCUCAAUAAAUACAACGUUUAGAAAGUACCUCAGCACUCCUGUCAUCAUUUUGCAUUAGCCAAAGAAUUGGCCAACUAUCCAGACAAGUCUUUCACCUAAUUCCUAUUGUCCGGGUUAAAAACGGUUUCAACCCCGGGUUAGAGAGUCUGCUUAUCUCAAAUCUCAUCUGCCAUAAUUCACAAUCAGCCCUCGCCGAACACAAAGUAGUUGAUAACCUCUUAAGUAAAGAAUAUUUUUGCAUCAAUCACAUCGGAGUAGCCAUCAGAAAAUAUUCGGGGGAAAAACUCAGAAUGGACCUCUCAGCCCCCCAUGACGGGCCACACCCGAGCAUAAACAGUCUGAUUUCAAUUGACGAAUACUCUCUCUGCUCUCUCCGCCAUCACGCCGUCAAUCAAGCAAUCCAAAUGAUAAAAAGUUGGCAGGAAUGCAUAGCUCGCUAAAGUUGACAUAACUUCAGCUUUUAAAAGCAUGCCCCUGCACCCCAAUUUCUGGCACCUCUUUGGAACAACAAGUUUUACUCUGCUGUCCACCUCACUUUCGGCUUCAAAAGCAGCCCCAAAAUAUUUGACAUGCUAUCCGAAGUGACCUGCUGGGUACUGUCAAAUAAUCACUCCAUGCCUUACCUCAUCCAUCUGCUUGACAAUUUCUUCACCGUCUCGCCUCACAAUUCUCCCCCGGCUCUCCACCUAACCGUAGUUAUGAAAGUAUUCUCCAAUAUAUAGUAGGAAUUCCUAUCGCUUAAGUAAAAACCACCAGUCCAUCCACUUCCAUUGAAUUUCUAGGCAUCCAACUCGAUACAGCUAAAUUUCUCCCUUCUCUUCCCCCCUCCUCGGCAAUCUAAAUUUCGCAUGUGUAUCAUCCCCCAAGGCUGCUCGUUCAUCUCACACCUCCUCUCUCUAGCUUCAUCCAUCUACUCCCUAAACUCCACCGUAACCCUAGAUCCAGCAUGCCAGGCAGACUUACAACUAUGGUUAACUUUUCUAAGCCAUUGGAACAGCCUUUCUUUUUGACGAAAAGACGAAGACGAUUUCAUCUCCUCCCAUGACGAUAUUCAAUUAUACACUGAUGCAGCUCCAUCUAUCAGAUUUGGAGGUUAUUACCAGGGUUGAUGGUUUGUAUCCACCUGGUCCCCCAAUCUGAUCAACUCACCCCCCCACUCCGCCCUGUUCGAACUUUAUCGCAUCAUGGUAGCAGCCUACCUCUGGGGGUCAGAAUGGACAUGAAAAAUAUUGUAGUCUACUGCGACAACCAAGCCACUGUACAGUGCAUUAACAAAGGCAGAUCCCGUUUGCCAGAAUUGUUGCUAUUUCUAAAGGCACCUAAUUUGGAUCUCCAUCCAUAACCAAUUUAUAAUCUAAAGCACAACAUAUUCCAGGCUCAAAAAACAGAUUGCUGACUCACUUUCUUGCUUUUCCUUCCAGAGAUUCAGAGCCUUGGCUCCAGAAGUGAACCUGACACCCCCCCUAGUUCCUCCAUGUUCAGAACUGAAAUUCCUUUAAAUCACCCUCUCAAACUCCUCCACCACACAUCUCCAAGCCAUUUCCCCCUGAAUCCUCCAAGCAUACUGGACUGCCUGGAAAUGCUUCUAAACUUUCCACCUAAUUUACAAAUGACCAUUUCCAGACUUUUCUCUUCUCUCUCUAUCUUCUUUCGCCUCACACCUCAAUCAAACCAAAAACCUCUAUCCUGGAACUGUUGAAGGGUACUUAAGCGACAUCAAUUUCUUCUAUAAAUGAAUUUUCGGCAAAAACUCCUCCACAAUAAGCCACCCCCAGAUCUCACUUCUAGUCAAGGGUAUUCAUAAAGCCCAACCCACCAGAAUCGAUACUAGGCAACCACUUACCAUCAAUUUUCGAACUCUAUGCCCAAAUACUCUCCGCCAGGGCUGUGUGUCUACAAAUACCUCCAAAACCCUAGACACAAAAUUUGAUCCAAGAAUCCAUCCCACCAUGUCAGACCUUCAUAUCCUAGACAAUGAUACAAUCAGAUACUACAUCAAACAAAGCAAAACAGACCAAGCUCAGGUCAAGUCUCGAGCCUCGUGCCCUUUGCCCAGCACAGCGAGCCAAACAUGUUUACACAAUCCCCAAUGCAGCAUUAUAUUAACUUGCAAACUACUGAACUGAUAGUGUGGAAAUAGGCAAAAGCGACAGGAAAAGCACAUUUUCUGAAGCAACCAUGUCAUUUUGUGUCACUUCUAUGACAGUUUCAGCUCAGCUUGCAUGCUUGUCUUGGCUUGUCUGGACUUGAGCCUCUGUCCUCUGAAUCUAAAGUCCAUCACUCUAUCAGGUGGAGCCGGCAUGCGUGAUCAACAUUCCAUGGAACGCUGACUUAUCUCGGGGAGACGCUGAUCAUGGCAAUUAAUUACUCACCCGUUUCCACUAACUUCUGAUUGCAAUCCCUACUUAUUCCUUGCGUUUCCCCUCUUUUUUUUUACAUUCGUAAAAAUCUUUCUUGGUGUUCCACAGAAGACAGUUUUACUAGUUUGAGACAGCAUAAGGACAGAUGCUUCAGACAGGGGGCUGGGGGCUGUACUCUCGCAGGUGGUGGAGGGGGAGGAGCGCCCGGUGCUGUGGGGAUAUGUGGCAGCGGGGGCGUGGUCAAGCAUCUCUCCGGAGAGAGAAAGCGGUAAGGGCGCUUACACCUGAGCUAAAUUAUGUCUAACACCUGUCUCUAAUUUCAGUGAGCACGGGGAGAGCGGCAUAAAUAGAGCGACACAACACUCAGUCGAGAGAGAGACUGGAUACGACAGAGCCGAGCCAGAGCAAGGAUUUUCUAAUAGUGAGAGUUUAUUUGUGGAAGCAGUGUGUGUUAGUGUUUAGUUAGUGCAUAAAGGUAAACUGUAAAGUGGUGUCGAGGAAGAGUGGAAAUAAAGCCUCACCUGAAGAAGGAAAACUGCUUCUCGCGUCUUCUUUUACAAU
Myxocyprinus asiaticus (Chinese sucker) is the source of this 5912-nucleotide long non-coding RNA. RefSeq lists it as uncharacterized. Lineage: Eukaryota; Metazoa; Chordata; Actinopteri; Cypriniformes; Catostomidae. The transcript has 3 exons. The record is from RefSeq and is a predicted model, not a curated record.